CCUAACAAGCUGCAGUUACAGUGUUGCACUUUGAAACAAAGGUCGUUGAACUUGAGCUGCAAAACCAAGGUAUUUUUUUUUGGAGUUGUGGAUAAUGGCAGCGAGAACAGACGUCUAGCAGAGUCCUGGAGUUUAAAGUUGAUCAUCCCCACAGUAUGGAAACAAAAAAUCUACUUAUAGCAAAAGAGCUGAACCUGCUACCUGUUGAUCAGAGAUGCUGGAUCCGGCAGCAGCAGCAGCAGAGCAGUGAAACGCUCAGGGCGUCACUCAGCCCCACUCAUGAUCCUGAUUAAAGGAGGGAGGGCUUAAAGCGCACGCGGAGCCGCGAGAUUGAACAGCUGAUACAAAGGUCUACCGGUUUACCUCCGUUAGAGUCUUGGCCCUGCAGCCCCUCAGCGCUCAGCACGUGCACCUGAGUGACCAGCUGAGGAUAUCCACACAUCCCCGUCCAACACGUCUGAGGAGGCUCGUCCAGGGUCAACUCUCUGUUCCAAA
Pangasianodon hypophthalmus (striped catfish) is the source of this 495-nucleotide long non-coding RNA. RefSeq lists it as uncharacterized. The record is from RefSeq and is a predicted model, not a curated record. Lineage: Eukaryota; Metazoa; Chordata; Actinopteri; Siluriformes; Pangasiidae. The transcript has 3 exons.